AGUCGUGAGGAAAGAAGUUCUGUCAGAGCUCACCAGUGUGCAUUUCUUCCAUAUGCUGUUAGGUGAGAAGAGACCUACCCUGCUCUUGCUGUAAGCACCUCUCAGAAAUCCAUAGCUUCCAUAGCCAGGAUUCCCUGAUGAUUCUCCAGGAAAGAGAAGCUGUUCCAGCCAGCAGCCAUCACUAGAUGGUGCACGCCACUUACCACCCUGAGUCCUGCUUUCCCUGCCGGAGUGCAUGCCCAGCUCCUAGCUCUCAGCCCUGGGCAGGGUGGCACGAGGUGAGCCAGGUGGGCAAUGCCAAACUGGUUUGAGUGAGAAAGAGAGAGAAGCAGAGCUGUGUUGUACUGCACCUUCGGACUGAUCAUGCUUAGUACUACAUUUUGGGGCAUUAGAAAACAUUUCUGUAGGACAAGCUUUCUCCUGGUGAAAUAAUGUUGAAAGGAAGAUGUUGCGUAGUUCCUUAAAUAGAUUAUUGGCCUGCAGAAAUACCAUGUGGUCUAUUAAUGAACCAUCUGGUACAUCAGCUCAGCAUCAUACAGCUAGUUUUUCAAGAGAAUUUAGGUUUUUGAUAUGCAAAUGAGAUGACAUGGUACAGAGCAACAAGGAUAGGCUGUUGAUGGUGUCAGUUUCAGUUUGUCCCCAGUUAAUAUGAAAAGGUGAUGAAUACAACCUGGAGCAAAUUUACCCUUUAUACUUUUUUUGAAUAACAUUCCUCCAAGAACACCAAGGAAAGCAAAAGCUGUCAAAGCUGUGAGCUGAAUGACACUGCAGUUGGUUCUGAACCAUUGGGUCUCCUACUAUUUGAUGGUUAUUUGAUUGUCAAAAAAAAGAAAACUUACACAGGAAGAUCAAAAUAAGGGUAUGGGUAAGCAAAGUCUGGACUUUUUUUUUUCCUUUUAAGGGAUGUUCCACUCAUUGAACGUAUGUCUUUGUCCUGACAUAGUAUUUGAAAAUGUUGAAAACUUCUGAAUCCCAAGCAGACACAUUACAGUAGGAAACUGCCAAAUAUACUUUGGGCUCUCUAAAAUAACCUCUAUAUUCAUAGAAGGAAUCAAUGGAUAUGCUUUUGAACCAAAGGAACAUGAAUUUGUAAUGAAUCUUCAUGCCGCCUCAUGCAUAUGUAAGGUUCAUUGCCAUCUGCAGAAGUAUUUAGGCAUCUCCUGAACUACAGUGUAAAUUUUCUGUCCUGUUUGGAUGAAAAACGAAAUGGAUUUUGACAAAAACAGGUUUUAAAUGAAAUAAUAAUGCAUGAGAUAAAACAAAGAUUAUGUAUGUACCUGAAAUUGACAAAGUCAGGUAACUUCAUAGCAAUUUACUUCACUACGGAUCUGAAAUGUUCACUAUAAAAAUGCAAUUUGGAUGUUUGUGGAAGCUGGUUUCCACUGAGGAAUCCUCCUGGUGGAAGUUACCCAGGUGGCUCUUAAAAUGAGAUCUCUAUGCAUUUUUCAUUUAUUUCUUUCUUUUUUGCUUUCAUUUGUUCAGUCUGCUGGGAGUGACCAAAACUUUUCAACAAAACUUUUGCACAGUAUUCUUUAGUUUAAAACAAACAAAAAAACCCACAACUUUUUCAGGAAUAUAUAUUUUCAAAAGUGAAAAUGUAGUGAUAUUUUGAAACCUUACUGUUUUUUCCUGAAUAUUUUUAGGAAAGCUGUUAUGCUAAAUUAUUUUUAUCAAACAAUAGACUUAAUUUUCUUUCACUUAACUACUGUCCUCAAACCACAGAUUAGUUAAGUUUACAAACAAAAUAAAAAAGUAUUAAU
This 1760-nucleotide long non-coding RNA is filed under the name Gallus gallus (chicken). Its description in RNAcentral is "lncRNA (ENSGALG00010005576.1)". Lineage: Eukaryota; Metazoa; Chordata; Aves; Galliformes; Phasianidae. The record is from RNAcentral.